This 253-nucleotide ribosomal RNA is filed under the name uncultured bacterium. Its description in RNAcentral is "partial 16S ribosomal RNA". It matches the Rfam family "Bacterial small subunit ribosomal RNA", at positions 524 to 776 of the family's 1533-position model. The record is from RNAcentral.
UACAGAGGGUGCAAGCGUUGUUCGGAAUCAUUGGGCGUAAAGCGCACGUAGGCGGCUUUGCAAGUCAGGUGUGAAAGCCUGGGGCUCAACCCCAGAAGUGCAUUUGAAACUGCAGAGCUUGAGUCUUGGAGAGGGCAGUGGAAUUCCGAGUGUAGAGGUGAAAUUCGUAGAUAUUCGGAGGAACACCAGUGGCGAAGGCGGCUCACUGGUCCGGUUCUGACGCUGAGGCGCGAAAGCGUGGGGAGCAAACAGG